This is an RNA transcript of Rhagoletis pomonella (apple maggot), 533 nucleotides long. It is a transcript of the gene named OCIA domain-containing protein 1-like, with no coding region annotated. Lineage: Eukaryota; Metazoa; Arthropoda; Insecta; Diptera; Tephritidae. The record is from RefSeq and is a predicted model, not a curated record. The transcript has 3 exons.
GAGUUUUCCUGUGGAGACAGGGCCUUACGUGAUCUUGUGUCUUUCGUUCAUGAGAAAACAAUCGAUAGUGACAGAAAGCAUCGAUGAUUUUCGGGUAACAUAUUUUUACUAGGUUUCAUAAAAUCUAGUAUUUAUUUAAUAAGUUCCUUGUUCUGCAUCAAUGGAACAAUCGACACAGCAAGCACAGCAACAUCCCUUGGCAAACUACCAGUUUUCUUCAGAGGAGCUUAAAGUUUUAAGAGAGUGUAAUACAGAAUCCUUCUUCCAACGUUCUUUGCCAUUAAGUACUGCUUUAGGGGUGGGCGCUUACUUGGCAGUAAAAAGUGGGUACUUGCAAGUAAGUAUCUAGUUUUAAAGCCAACGGGUGUCUUACACCCCUAUGCUGUAAUCCGAAUGUUCGUAGUUACGAAUUCGUUGCUCCGUUCCGAAAAUUCGAAUGCUGUACAGCGUGGCGUGUAUAACUUAACCCAGUUUUGUUUUAGAAAUAAAAGGGUGCUUUAUAGAUUUUACGAAAAAAAGUAUUUAAUUUUUAA